GACGAACGCUGGCGGCGUGCUUAACACAUGCAAGUCGAACGGAAAGGCCCUGCUUUUGUGGGGUGCUCGAGUGGCGAACGGGUGAGUAACACGUAAGUAACCUGCCCUUGACUUUGGGAUAACUUCAGGAAACUGGGGCUAAUACCGGAUAGGAGCUCCUGCUGCAUGGUGGGGGUUGGAAAGUUUCGGCGGUUGGGGAUGGACUCGCGGCUUAUCAGCUUGUUGGUGGGGUAGUGGCUUACCAAGGCUUUGACGGGUAGCCGGCCUGAGAGGGUGACCGGCCACAUUGGGACUGAGAUACGGCCCAGACUCCUACGGGAGGCAGCAGUGGGGAAUAUUGCACAAUGGGCGGAAGCCUGAUGCAGCAACGCCGCGUGCGGGAUGACGGCCUUCGGGUUGUAAACCGCUUUCGCCUGUGACGAAGCGUGAGUGACGGUAAUGGGUAAAGAAGCACCGGCUAACUACGUG
RNAcentral lists this ribosomal RNA (468 nucleotides) under uncultured bacterium. Its description in RNAcentral is "partial 16S ribosomal RNA". It matches the Rfam family "Bacterial small subunit ribosomal RNA", at positions 28 to 507 of the family's 1533-position model. The record is from RNAcentral.